Myotis lucifugus (little brown bat) is the source of this 135-nucleotide non-coding RNA. NCBI's taxonomy places the organism in Eukaryota, Metazoa, Chordata, Mammalia, Chiroptera, Vespertilionidae. The record is from Rfam.
CACGUUUUAUUUAAGACCCAAGAUGGCGGCGUCCGCUCCGUGCCAAAAUACGGCCUGGGUACCAGGUGUGGAAAGGCGUCCAAAGGACGAAUUUACUGAGGAAAGUGGUGAAACUGGACAGUUUUUGUGUUGUGG